Molecule: ribosomal RNA, 503 nt
Filed under: uncultured bacterium
Lineage: Bacteria
Description: bacterial SSU rRNA
Rfam family: Bacterial small subunit ribosomal RNA
Source: RNAcentral
AUUGAACGCUGGCGGCAUGCCUUACACAUGCAAGUCGAACGGCAGCACGGACUUCGGUCUGGUGGCGAGUGGCGAACGGGUGAGUAAUGCAUCGGAACGUGCCAUUGAGUGGGGGAUAACGUAGCGAAAGUUGCGCUAAUACCGCAUAUUCUGUGAGCAGGAAAGCAGGGGACCGCAAGGACUUGCGCUCUUUGAGCGGCCGAUGUCAGAUUAGCUAGUUGGUGAGGUAAAGGCUUACCAAGGCGACGAUCUGUAGCGGGUCUGAGAGGAUGGUCCGCCACACUGGAGCUUAGACACGGUCCAGACUCCUACGGGAGGCAGCAGUGGGGAAUUUUGGACAAUGGGGGCAACCCUGAUCCAGCCAUGCCGCGUGAGUGAAGAAGGCCUUCGGGUUGUAAAGCUCUUUCGGCCGGGAAGAAAUCGCAUGGGCCAAUACCCUGUGUGGAUGACGGUACCGGAAUAAGAAGCACCGGCUAACUACGUGCCAGCAGCCGCAGUAAUAC